GUGGGGAAUAUUGGACAAUGGGGGCAACCCUGAUCCAGCCAUCCCGCGUGUGCGAUGAAGGCCUUCGGGUUGUAAAGCACUUUUGGCAGGGAAGAAAAGUUUCGGGCUAAUACCCUGGAGCGAUGACGGUACCUGCAGAAUAAGCACCGGCUAACUACGUGCCAGCAGCCGCGGUAAUACGUAGGGUGCAAGCGUUAAUCGGAAUUACUGGGCGUAAAGCGUGCGCAGGCGGUUCGGAAAGAAAGAUGUGAAAUCCCAGGGCUUAACCUUGGAACUGCAUUUUUAACUGUCGAACUCGAGUAUGUCAGAGGGGGGUAGAAUUCCACGUGUAGCAGUGAAAUGCGUAGAGAUGUGGAGGAAUACCGAUGGCGAAGGCAGCCCCCUGGGAUAAUACUGACGCUCAUGCACGAAAGCGUGGGGAGCAAACAGGAUUAGAAACCCUGGUAGUCC
RNAcentral lists this ribosomal RNA (450 nucleotides) under uncultured bacterium. RNAcentral describes it as "partial 16S ribosomal RNA". It matches the Rfam family "Bacterial small subunit ribosomal RNA", at positions 354 to 796 of the family's 1533-position model. The record is from RNAcentral.